UGGGGAAUAUUGGACAAUGGGCGCAAGCCUGAUCCAGCAAUGCCGCGUGUGUGAAGAAGGCCUUCGGGUUGUAAAGCACUUUCAGUUGGGAGGAAGGGCUUAUUGCUAAUACCGAUAAGCAUUGACGCUACCAACAGAAGAAGCACCGGCUAACUCUGUGCCAGCAGCCGCGGUAAUACAGAGGGUGCAAGCGUUAAUCGGAAUUACUGGGCGUAAAGGGUGCGUAGGCGGUUAUAUAAGUUAGAUGUGAAAUCCCUAGGCUUAACCUUGGAACUGCGUUUAAUACUGUAUAGCUAGAGUACUGAAGAGGUUAGUGGAAUUUCCAGUGUAGCGGUGAAAUGCGUAGAUAUUGGAAGGAACACCAGUGGCGAAGGCGACUAACUGGUCAGAUACUGACGCUGAGGCACGAAAGCGUGGGGAGCAAACAGG
This 429-nucleotide ribosomal RNA is filed under the name uncultured bacterium. RNAcentral's name for it is "bacterial SSU rRNA". It matches the Rfam family "Bacterial small subunit ribosomal RNA", at positions 355 to 776 of the family's 1533-position model. The record is from RNAcentral.